RNAcentral lists this ribosomal RNA (239 nucleotides) under uncultured bacterium. RNAcentral's name for it is "partial 16S ribosomal RNA". It matches the Rfam family "Bacterial small subunit ribosomal RNA", at positions 15 to 236 of the family's 1533-position model. The record is from RNAcentral.
GAUCCUGGCUCAGGAUGAACGCUGGCGGCGUGCUUAACACAUGCAAGUCGAGCGAAGCACUUUGGAAAGAUUCUUCGGAUGAUUUCCUUUGUGACUGAGCGGCGGACGGGUGAGUAACGCGUGGGUAACCUGCCUCAUACAGGGGGAUAACAGUUAGAAAUGACUGCUAAUACCGCAUAAGACCACGGUACCGCAUGGUGCAGUGGUAAAAACUCCGGUGGUAUGAGAUGGACCCGCGU